AGAAUCAACGCUGGCGGCGUGCCUAACACAUGCAAGUCGAACGAGAAUGUGGAGCAAUCCACAAGUAAAGUGGCGCACGGGUGAGUAACACGUGACUAACCUACCCUUGAGUGGGGGAUAACCUAGAGAAAUCUGGGCUAAUACCGCAUAAUACCUUCGGGUCAAAGGAGCAAUUCGCUUAAGGAGGGGGUCGCGGCCGAUUAGUUAGUUGGCGGGGUAAUGGCCCACCAAGACUAUGAUCGGUA
RNAcentral lists this ribosomal RNA (245 nucleotides) under uncultured bacterium. RNAcentral's name for it is "partial small subunit ribosomal RNA". It matches the Rfam family "Bacterial small subunit ribosomal RNA", at positions 26 to 285 of the family's 1533-position model. The record is from RNAcentral.